Molecule: ribosomal RNA, 587 nt
Filed under: uncultured bacterium
Lineage: Bacteria
Description: partial 16S ribosomal RNA
Rfam family: Bacterial small subunit ribosomal RNA
Source: RNAcentral
UGGGGAAUUUUGGACAAUGGGCGAAAGCCUGAUCCAGCAAUGCCGCGUGUGUGAAGAAGGCCUUCGGGUUGUAAAGCACUUUUGCUCGGAAAGAAAUCCUUGGCUCUAAUACAGUCGGGGGAUGACGGUACCGGAAGAAUAAGCACCGGCUAACUACGUGCCAGCAGCCGCGGUAAUACGUAGGGUGCAAGCGUUAAUCGGAAUUACUGGGCGUAAAGCGUGCGCAGGCGGUUUGCUAAGACCGAUGUGAAAUCCCCGGGCUCAACCUGGGAACUGCAUUGGGUGACUGGCAGGCUAGAGUAUGGCAGAGGGGGGUAGAAUUCCACGUGUAGCAGUGAAAUGCGUAGAGAUGUGGAGGAAUACCGAUGGCGAAGGCAGCCCCCCUGGGCCAAUACUGACGCUCAUGCACGAAAGGCGUGGGGAGCAAACAGGAUUAGAUACCCUGGUAGUCCACGCCCUAAACGAUGUCAACUAGUUGUUGGGGAUUCAUUUCCUAGUAACGUAGCUAACGCGUGAAGUUGACCGCCUGGGGAGUACGGUCGCAAGAUUAAAACUUAAAUGAAUUGACGGGGUCAUAGCUGUUUCCU